RNAcentral lists this ribosomal RNA (198 nucleotides) under uncultured bacterium. Its description in RNAcentral is "partial 16S ribosomal RNA". It matches the Rfam family "Bacterial small subunit ribosomal RNA", at positions 328 to 539 of the family's 1533-position model. The record is from RNAcentral.
ACGCUCGACACCUACUGGAGGCAGCAGUGGGGAAUAUUGCACAAUGGGGGAAACCCUGAUGCAGCGACGCCGCGUGGAGGAAGAAGGUCUUCGGAUUGUAAACUCCUGUUGUUGGGGAAAAAGAGGAUGGUACCCAACAAGGAAGUGACGGCUAACUACGUGCCAGAGCUGCGGUAAUCUGGAGCGGGCUGGCAAGGC